Molecule: ribosomal RNA, 535 nt
Filed under: uncultured Streptococcus sp.
Lineage: Bacteria; Bacillati; Bacillota; Bacilli; Lactobacillales; Streptococcaceae
Description: bacterial SSU rRNA
Rfam family: Bacterial small subunit ribosomal RNA
Source: RNAcentral
AGAGUUUGAUCAUGGCUCAGGACGAACGCUGGCGGCGUGCCUAAUACAUGCAAGUAGAACGCUGAAGGAGGAGCUUGCUUCUCUGGAUGAGUUGCGAACGGGUGAGUAACGCGUAGGUAACCUGCCUGGUAGCGGGGGAUAACUAUUGGAAACGAUAGCUAAUACCGCAUAAUAGUAGAUGUUGCAUGACAUUUGCUUAAAAGGUGCAAUUGCAUCACUACCAGAUGGACCUGCGUUGUAUUAGCUAGUUGGUGAGGUAACGGCUCACCAAGGCGACGAUACAUAGCCGACCUGAGAGGGUGAUCGGCCACACUGGGACUGAGACACGGCCCAGACUCCUACGGGAGGCAGCAGUAGGGAAUCUUCGGCAAUGGACGGAAGUCUGACCGAGCAACGCCGCGUGAGUGAAGAAGGUUUUCGGAUCGUAAAGCUCUGUUGUAAGAGAAGAACGAGUGUGAGAGUGGAACUGCUCAUACCAUGACGGUAUCUUACCAGAAAGGGACGGCUAACUACGUGCCAGCAGCCGCGGUAAUAC